UGGGAGUCUGGUGGGAGAAGGAAAGGAGUUAACGUAGUGUCAGCCCACUGCUUACCUCUCCUGCAGUGCCAGAGAGUCCCUGAGAUAUGUGCAAGAUUCGUGGUGUAAUUCAUCCUGAGCGACCAUCCCAGGCUCCAUGAUAAAUAAAUCCAACAGAAGGGCUCGGGGAGCAGACUCAGAUAUGCACCGUCACUGAAAGAAAGGAAGCAGCAAUUUGGCCCCUUCUCCACAGAUGAAGUAGCCAACUGGCCAGCUACCACUUUCUCUUCCAGUUUCAUGGAAAUGAAGAACCAUCGAGAUUUCAUCAGAGAAGAUACAUGGAGGUAAAAGAGCAUUUUGCAAAUUCAACAAUGUCUUAGAAUCAACUUAUCAACGUAUUAGGAACAAAGCUUGUGUCUCCAAGAAAGUUGCAUGCAAGAAUCUUUCCUCCAGGCUGACAGAGUGUGGGUAUCCUCAGAAAUCGAGGGAACAUGAGGCUACCCUCUGAAACAUCCCAGAAAUCCCAGCCCUGAGAGACCUCGUGCUGCUACAUGUCAGCCAUCUGUGGCUCCGCUGCUCCAAAGUGCUCCCUGAAGACAAGAAGAACUAGUACUGCAUGAGGUAAUACUGCUGCUGAAAAAGCAAAGACCUUGGGAAAGCCAGUAGUGGUUACCAAAAUGGACUGUGAAGGGACACAAUGUCUUUUGGAAAUGCUGGCUAGGAGAUACAACCCAAUAACAUUAAAAAAAAUUGUUUCAGAAGUUUUAUUUACUUCUUAAGUUCAAGGCAUAAAUAAGGGGCAUUGUAACCAAAUAUCCCAACUGGCUCCCUCAGCUCUGUUCAAAUCAGGUUCCAAAUAUUUUACCUCUGAAAAAAAUAAUUCCUUGGCCUACAUCUGUGGUAAUUUUAUGUAGGUUCAUAAAGAUCACUUCAUUAAAGAGCUAACUUCAUACUCAGUACUUGUUGAGUUCAAACACAUAUUC
Molecule: long non-coding RNA, 962 nt
Organism: Prinia subflava (tawny-flanked prinia)
Lineage: Eukaryota; Metazoa; Chordata; Aves; Passeriformes; Cisticolidae
Exons: 4
Source: RefSeq, a predicted model, not a curated record